GAUGAACGCUGGCGGCGUGCCUAAUACAUGCAAGUCGAGCGAACGGACGAGAAGCUUGCUUCUCUGAUGUUAGCGGCGGACGGGUGAGUAACACGUGAUAACCUACCUAUUAGACUGGGGUAACUUCGGGAAAACGGAACUAAUACCGGGUGAUAUUUUUGACCGCCUGGUUCCAAAAUGAAAGACGGUUUUUGCGUUCACUAUUGGUUGAACCGCGCUGCAUUAGCUAGUUGGUAAGGUAACGGCUUACCAAGGCAACGAUGCAUAGCCGACCUGAGAGGGUGAUCGGCCACACUGGAACUGAGACACGGUCCAGACUCCUACGGGAGGCAGCAGUAGGGAAUCUUCCGCAAUGGGCGAAAGCCUGACGGAGCAACGCCGCGUGAGUGAUGAAGGUCUUCGGAUCGUAAAACUCUGUUAUUAGGGAAGAACAUAUGUGUAAGUAACUGUGCACAUCUUGACGGUACCUAAUCAGAAAGCCACGGCUAACUACGUG
This 496-nucleotide ribosomal RNA is filed under the name uncultured bacterium. RNAcentral's name for it is "partial 16S ribosomal RNA". It matches the Rfam family "Bacterial small subunit ribosomal RNA", at positions 28 to 507 of the family's 1533-position model. The record is from RNAcentral.